RNAcentral lists this long non-coding RNA (1952 nucleotides) under Ananas comosus (pineapple). RNAcentral's name for it is "long non-coding RNA (ACOM_LNC031577)". The record is from RNAcentral. Lineage: Eukaryota; Viridiplantae; Streptophyta; Magnoliopsida; Poales; Bromeliaceae.
CACGUUGUCAGCGGUCUCCUUGUCCAAAAUCUCUUUUCCUUUAACAUUCAUCAUAUUAACCUGAAAUAAAAACGAACUUCUGUUAAUUUCUUUAUUUUCGUUUUCCUGGUCGGCUAAUAUGAGCCGACCCUCGUCUAUUUCUUCUUGGAUCUGCCUUUUCGCAGUCGCUUUUUCUUUCCCUUUCAUGUUCACGGCGUUGACCUGUGAUGGAAAAGGAUUCUUAUCAAUUUUCAUAUCUCUAUUUUCUUGGUCGGCAAAGAUCAGCCGACCCUCAUUUAUCUCUUUUUGAAUUUACCUCUUAAAGGCAGUACAUUCACUAGUUUUAUGGCUCAAUGAAUGGUGCCAUUUGCAGUAUUUUCUGCAUUUCAGUUCUUCUACAGAAGGUAUAGUUUGACCCUCCUGUAGUUUAAUUCGUCCGUCCCUUAGCAACCGAUCAAAAAUAAGAUCGGUUUUUGCUAUACCAAACGAAUAAUUAAAGGCCGAUAUAUGUGCUUUCGCCUCUCUUGACUUGGCAGGUUUUAAUAAAGCACAUUUAUAUGGUUGAUUAUUUCUCACUAUCUCGGUUGUACAAAUUUCGGCUUCAUCAGCCGAAUCCUUAUUCUCUUCAGACGAAUUCGGCUCUUCAUGAGUCGAAGCCUCCUCAAAGAAAGAGAUAUUUUUCUUCUUUCCCUUGUUCCAGUCCUUAUUUCGGCUCCAUCUAGGCCGAUCUUCAUUAUUCCCUUUUCGAAAUUACUCGUAUUGAGCAACUCGAACUCCCAAAUCGAAAAGAUUUGGAAAGAAUUUAUCUUCAAAGUGAUCUUUAAUGUUAAAAUGCAUGCCGUUGAACGCCAUUUUGGCAAAUUCCGAUUCCGGCAUUCUUACGAAACAUUGGCUUCGAGCCGACUUGAAUCGGUUUAAAUAUUCAUCAACUGAUUCCCCUAUUCUCUAUCUAAAUUGAGCCAAAUCCGCAACUGACAACUCUGGCUCAGUUCUAUAAAAUUGUUCAUAACAUUUACCCUCCAACUCGUCCCAAUUUCGUACGGAAUUAGCGGGUAGACUUGUAUACCAAGUAAAAGCCGUCUUGGUUAAUGAAGUAUUAAAUAAUCACAUUUUCUGAAUUACUGGGCUGUUCACUCACAGAGUUUCUAGGGAUAGCCCUAUUACGAAGAUUCAUGGCAUUAUCAUCAGCCAUACUUUAAAUGCAAAUUUACCUUAAAAAUAAUGUCCCACUGGGCGUGCCAAAAAUUGUUGGUGGCCGAAAGUCCCGACCCUUAACCCAGUCAAGAAUCCUCCUCGGGAAGAACAUCGGGAUGAUGAGCGGCCGCGGAUGGUGACCCUCGAAGUUUGCGCCCACGACGGAUCAAGCGAUUCAGCCGAUGAGGGAUCGAAUCAGCCCGGUUCGAAGACCUCUACAGUAAAUUCGCUUCGGCGGGAUGAGCCGAAUAAAGAAGGGAAGCCCAGAAUUCGACUGAGAGAUGAGCUGAAUGACUAAACAACUCGAGAUCUGAUCGGCAAGAAGAGCCGAAAAUGACUUUCUAUUGAAUAGAAACGCAAAAACAGGGGAGUGAUGCCCGUAGGGCAGACAAACUCCAAGUACAAGAACAGGGGAGUGAUCCCGUAGGGCAGACAGACUGCAAGUAUGCUAAGUUACGAGAACUACUCCUAUGAAAAGCGGUAAAUGCAGGAAAGAAAGACGCCGAAAAAAUAAAAGUGGCCUUUUGUGCGCAGGGGUCUUCGUAUGCCUAUUUAUAAAGUUGCCCUUGCGUUCAGUUAUCGUCAUUGCACGAUCGGCCACUAUCUCCUGAUUUGAAGGACCACCUUCGGCCGAUUGGAACUACUCAUAACCGCUCGCGGUUGUUACAACUUUUUGAACAGACGCGGCUCAUAUCUUCUGGCGCGUCCUAUAUGUUCCCAGUCCACCGUUUUGACAUGGAUCAUGGAUGUAGUCCCGGCUUGCCAGUUGUCCACCGAAU